GACGAACGCUGGCGGCGUGCUUAACACAUGCAAGUCGAACGGAAAGGCCCUGCUUUUGUGGGGUGCUCGAGUGGCGAACGGGUGAGUAACACGUGAGUAACCUGCCCUUGACUUUGGGAUAACUUCAGGAAACUGGGGCUAAUACCGGAUAUGAGCUCCUGCUGCAUGGUGGGGGUUGGAAAGUUUCGGCGGUUGGGGAUGGACUCGCGGCUUAUCAGCUUGUUGGUGGGGUAGUGGCUUACCAAGGCUUUGACGGGUAGCCGGCCUGAGAGGGUGACCGGCCACAUGGGGACUGAGAUACGGCCCAGAAUCCUACGGGAGGCAGCAGUGGGGAAUAUUGCACAAUGGGCGGAAGCCUGAUGCAGCAACGCCGCGUGCGGGAUGACGGCCUUCGGGUUGUAAACCGAUUUCGCCUGUGACGAAGAGUGAGUGACGGUAAUGGGUAAAGAAGCACCGGCUAACUACGUG
This 468-nucleotide ribosomal RNA is filed under the name uncultured bacterium. RNAcentral's name for it is "partial 16S ribosomal RNA". It matches the Rfam family "Bacterial small subunit ribosomal RNA", at positions 28 to 507 of the family's 1533-position model. The record is from RNAcentral.